RNAcentral lists this ribosomal RNA (445 nucleotides) under uncultured bacterium. Its description in RNAcentral is "bacterial SSU rRNA". It matches the Rfam family "Bacterial small subunit ribosomal RNA", at positions 354 to 796 of the family's 1533-position model. The record is from RNAcentral.
GUAAGGAAUAUUGGACAAUGGACGCAAGUCUGAUCCAGCCAUGCCGCGUGAAGGAUUAAGGUCCUCUGGAUUGUAAACUUCUUUUAUAAGGGACGAAAAAAGGCUUUUCUAAGUCGUCUGACGGUACCUUAUGAAUAAGCACCGGCUAACUCCGUGCCAGCAGCCGCGGUAAUACGGAGGGUGCAAGCGUUAUCCGGAUUCACUGGGUUUAAAGGGUGCGUAGGCGGGCUGGUAAGUCAGUGGUGAAAUCCUAGAGCUUAACUCUAGAACGGCCAUUGAUACUAUCUGUCUUGAAUAUUGUGGAGGUAAGCGGAAUAUGUCAUGUAGCGGUGAAAUGCUUAGAUAUGACAUAGAACACCUAUUGCGAAGGCAGCUUACUACGCAUAUAUUGACGCUGAGGCACGAAAGCGUGGGGAUCAAACAGGAUUAGAUACCCGGGUAGUCC